RNAcentral lists this ribosomal RNA (566 nucleotides) under Exophiala nishimurae. RNAcentral describes it as "eukaryotic LSU rRNA". It matches the Rfam family "Eukaryotic large subunit ribosomal RNA", at positions 82 to 659 of the family's 3401-position model. Lineage: Eukaryota; Fungi; Ascomycota; Eurotiomycetes; Chaetothyriales; Herpotrichiellaceae. The record is from RNAcentral.
AGUAACGGCGAGUGAAGCGGCAACAGCUCAAAUUUGAAAUCUGGCCUCUUUGGGGUCCGAGUUGUAAUUUGUAGAGGAUGUUUCGGGUACCGCCUCGGUCUAAAUUUCUUGGAACAGAAUGUCAAAGAGGGUGAGAAUCCCGUCUUGGACCGGCGGUAGGGCCCAUGUGAAACUCCUUCGACGAGUCGAGUUGUUUGGGAAUGCAGCUCAAAAUGGGUGGUAAAUUUCAUCUAAAGCUAAAUAUUGGCCAGAGACCGAUAGCGCACAAGUAGAGUGAUCGAAAGAUGAAAAGCACUUUGAAAAGAGAGUUAAACAGUAUGUGAAAUUGUUGAAAGGGAAGCGCUUGCAACCAGACUUGCGCGCGGCGGUUCCCCCUUCCUUCUGGUUGGGUUACUCCGCCGUGUCCAGGCCAAUAUCGGUUUUGGGGGUCGGUUAAAGGCUUGGGGAAUGUAUCUACUCCUCCGGGCGUAGACUUAUAGCCCAGCGUGUCAUGCGACCUCCCGGGACCGAGGAACGCGCUUCGGCUCGGAUGUUGGCGUAAUGGUUGUCAGCGACCCGUCUUAACC